RNAcentral lists this ribosomal RNA (253 nucleotides) under uncultured bacterium. RNAcentral describes it as "partial 16S ribosomal RNA". It matches the Rfam family "Bacterial small subunit ribosomal RNA", at positions 524 to 776 of the family's 1533-position model. The record is from RNAcentral.
UACGUAGGUGGCAAGCGUUAUCCGGAAUUACUGGGUGUAAAUGGAGCGCAGGCGGGACUGCAAGUUGGAUGUGAAAUACCGCAGCUUAACUGCGGGGCUGCAUCCAAAACUGUAGUUCUUGAGUGAAGUAGAGGUAGGCGGAAUUCCGAGUGUAGCGGUGAAAUGCGUAGAUAUUCGGAGGAACACCGGUGGCGAAGGCGGCCUACUGGGCUUUUACUGACGCUGAGGCUCGAAAGUGUGGGGAGCAAACAGG